CCUACUGGUUGAUCCUGCCAGUAAUCAUAUGCUUGUUUCAAAGAUUAAGCCAUGCAUGUCUAAGUACAAACUGUGUCUCACACGGUGAUACCGCGGACGGCUCAUUAAAUCAGUCUUGGUCCAAAUGGGCCUGUGAUAACUCUACCUGGAUAACUGUGGUAAUUCCAGAGCUAAUACAUGCAACUCAUAUCCUGAUGGCGGUGCUUGCUCUCUUGUAGGGCUUGUUCGUUCUGACGGAUGCUUUUAUUAGACCAAACCGCUGAGGGCGUGCGUCGCCUCGUGUGACCUCCUCGCUCGACUCGUGCAAUGGUGACUCUGGAUAACCUUUUUGACAAGCGCACGUACCACUCAUUGAGUUGGACGGCGCUACCACUUUCGAGUGUCUGCCUUAUCAGCUGUCAACCGUUCGUUAUGUGCGACCGAUGGCUUUGACGGGUAACGGAGAAUCAGGGUUCGAUUCCGGAGAGGCAGCCUGAGAAACGGCUACCACGUCUAAGGACGGCAGCAGGCACGCAAAUUACCCAAUCCCAGCAUCUGGGGGAGGUAGUGACGAAAUCUAACGAUGCGGGCGCCCUUUCUGGGGCCCCGCAAUCGGAAUGAGUACUUUCUAAACAACCUGUUGAGAACCUACUGAAGGGCAAGUCUGGUGCCAGCAGCCGCGGUAAUUCCAGCUUCAGUAGCAUCUAUUAAAGUUGCUGCGGUUAAAAGGCUCGCAGUUGAAUGUCAGUAUCGAGCGCAGGUCAGGUGGACGUUGGGGCGUGGGAAUAAAAGGUGUAUGUACGGACGCUGUUCUGUCGCUUUCGGGCGCAGUCGUGUCGUUGUCGGCUGCAUCUCUCACGAGCUCCCGUCCGUAACAAGCCUCCUCGCUUGUGUACAUAAUGGAAUUGGUCAAACGGAGUGUGCGUGUUAGUGGCGUUAGUGCGUGGAUUGUGUCGGUUCGCCGUCGCGGUUGUCCGGGCUGAUGUUUACGAAGCGUACGUUAAGCUCUUCGGUUUUAUAUUCACCUUGAGUAAAUCAGAGUGCUCAAAGCAGUCGUAGGGGCGUAUGCCCUGUUUAAAGUCUUGACGGACUGACUUGGUUAUGCAUGGUAUGUUGGAAGACGACGUCGUGUGCUGGCUCAGAGAUAAAUCAGUGGUGUAAGCCAGCCGCGACGUACUGAUUAACAGAACUUGUCGAGGGCAUUGGUAUUGCGAGGCGAGAGGUGAAAUUCUAUGACCCUCGCAAGACCUCCUGAAGCGAAAGCGUCAUGCCAAGGAUGUUUUCAUUAAUCAUGAACGAAAGUUAGAGGAUCGAAGGCGAUCAGAUACCGCCCUAGUUCUAACCCUAAACGAUGCCAACCAUCAAUCCGCGCGUAGUACCCUUCUUAACGGACUCGGCGGGCAGCUCCCCACUCACGGGAAACCAGAGUCUCUGGGUUCCGGGGGGAGUCUGGUUGCAAAGCUGAAACUUAAAGGAAUUGACGGAAAGGCACCACCAGGCGUGGAGCUGCGGCUUAAUUUGACUCAACACGGGCCACCUCACCAGGCCAGCACUCUUGUACGAUUGACAGAUUGAGAGCUCUUUCUCGAUUCAGUGGAUGGUGGUGCAUGGCCGUUCUUAGUUGGUGGAGUGAUCUGUCUGGUUAAUUCCGAUAACGAACGAGACUCUCCCCUGCUAACUAGUCGGUUGGAUCUUGCUCGGUGAGCUGUGUGCCGAGAUCACCUGGAUGUGCUGGAGUUUGUUGGUGGGCCGGCGGUUUUACCUCGUGUCUCAUUCGGCUCUCUGGUCUCUAGGCCUCGGACCACACACUCCAAGUCCGCCGCUUAUGCUAUGACUCUUCUUAGAGGGAUUCACGGUACUGAAGCCGUCAGAGACUGAGAGCAAUAACAGGUCUGUGAUGCCCUUAGAUGCUCUGGGCCGCACGCGCGCUACAAUGCCGGGCACAGCAGGUAGUUUUCCUGCUCCGACAGGACGGGUAACCCUGUGAAAGCCCUUGCUUUAUUAUGUCUGACAUGAAUGGCGUGCUUGGGCCUGGGGCUUGCAAUUCUUUCCCACAAACGAGGAAUGCCUAGUAGCGGCGGGUCACUGAGCCCGCCGUGAUUCAGUCCCUGCCCUUUGUACACACCGCCCGUCGCUACUACCGAUUGGGUGUACCAGUGAGAGCCUUGGACUGGCGUCCGUUGCCUUCGGGCAAACGGUACCGACGGAAAGAGGUCCGAACUGGUGCACUUAGAGGAAGUAAAAGUCGUAACAAGGUUUCCGUAGGUGAACCUGCGGAAGGAUCAUUA
This 2267-nucleotide ribosomal RNA is filed under the name Andaniexis lupus. RNAcentral's name for it is "18S ribosomal RNA". It matches the Rfam family "Eukaryotic small subunit ribosomal RNA". Lineage: Eukaryota; Metazoa; Arthropoda; Malacostraca; Amphipoda; Stegocephalidae. The record is from RNAcentral.